RNAcentral lists this ribosomal RNA (490 nucleotides) under uncultured bacterium. RNAcentral's name for it is "partial 16S ribosomal RNA". It matches the Rfam family "Bacterial small subunit ribosomal RNA", at positions 30 to 507 of the family's 1533-position model. The record is from RNAcentral.
AUUGAACGCUGGCGGCAGGCCUAACACAUGCAAGUCGAACGGUAACAGGAAGAAGCUUGCUGCUUUGCUGACGAGUGGCGGACGGGGGAGUGAAGUCCGGCAGACUCUACGAUGGAGGGGGAGAACUACUGGAAACGGUAGCUCUAAUACCGUAAAGUCGCAAGACCAAAGAGGAGGACCUUAGGGCAUCUUGCCAUCGGGUGUGCCCAGAUGGGGUUAGCUAGUAGGUGGGGUAACGGCUCACCUAGGCGACGAUCCCUAGCUGGUCUGAGAGGAUGACCAGCCACACUGGAACUGAGACACGGUCCAGACUCCUACGGGAGGCAGCAGUGGGGAAUAUUGCACAAUGGGCGCAAGCCUGAUGCAGCCAUGCCGCGUGUAUGAAGAAGGCCUUCGGGUUGUAAAGUACUUUUGGCGGGAAGGAAGGGAGUAAGGUUAAUACCUUGGCGCAUUGACGUUACCCGCAGAAGAAGCACCGGCUAACUCCGUG